This 548-nucleotide long non-coding RNA is filed under the name Homo sapiens (human). Its description in RNAcentral is "HSALNT0315429". The record is from RNAcentral. Lineage: Eukaryota; Metazoa; Chordata; Mammalia; Primates; Hominidae.
UGGGUGAACUAUGGGGCAUUUGCCCGGAGUUCAUGCUCAGCAUCAGGGUCAAAGCAAAGGGAACUCUGACAAUGAUUCCAUUGUGAACUUGUUCUGGGAAUGCCAUGAUGAUUCUCUAUCAUGUUCCUCGUACACUGCACCAGCACCACUGCUUCCCUUCCCAGUGAGAACCCGAUCAAGCUUUAUCAUGCAGCCCAGAAGGGUGGGGGAAAGAAAAAGAAUUAGGAGAAAAUGUUGUAAAAGUAAUGAGAUAAUAUGAGAAUGUGCUUUGGGAACUGCGAAUCUGGAGUCACUGGUCCAUGAGGAAUCUAGGAUAAGAAGAAGGAAGCUGUGAAGAAUGGUUGGCUAACAGUGCUGGCAAGGAAUUCAGAUCAACAUACCUCUCAAAAGAAUGGAAGUCUCUUAAACUCAGCUUCAGCCAGACCUAGAAGUUUAUCUGCUGAAGCUGUAUACACCCCAUCAGUAGCCCAUCCUGCAGUUGGCUAACUCUGAUUCCAAAUUCCUUUCCGGUGGCGUCCAUCUGCUGUGCAAAAUGUUGUGAAAAGGCU